Molecule: ribosomal RNA, 462 nt
Filed under: Antarctobacter albus
Lineage: Bacteria; Pseudomonadati; Pseudomonadota; Alphaproteobacteria; Rhodobacterales; Roseobacteraceae
Description: bacterial SSU rRNA
Rfam family: Bacterial small subunit ribosomal RNA
Source: RNAcentral
CGCAGCUGAUCUAGCCAUGCCGCGUGAGUGAUGAAGGCCUUAGGGUCGUAAAGCUCUUUCGCCAGGGAUGAUAAUGACAGUACCUGGUAAAGAAACCCCGGCUAACUCCGUGCCAGCAGCCGCGGUAAUACGGAGGGGGUUAGCGUUGUUCGGAAUUACUGGGCGUAAAGCGCGCGUAGGCGGAUUGGAAAGUUGGGGGUGAAAUCCCGGGGCUCAACCCUGGAACUGCCUCCAAAACUCCUGGUCUUGAGUUCGAGAGAGGUGAGUGGAAUUCCGAGUGUAGAGGUGAAAUUCGUAGAUAUUCGGAGGAACACCAGUGGCGAAGGCGGCUCACUGGCUCGAUACUGACGCUGAGGUGCGAAAGUGUGGGGAGCAAACAGGAUUAGAUACCCUGGUAGUCCACACCGUAAACGAUGAAUGCCAGUCGUCGGGUAGCAUGCUAUUCGGUGACACACCUAACGG